UAGGGAAUCUUCCGCAAUGGGCGAAAGCCUGACGGAGCAACGCCGCGUGAGUGAAGAAGGUCUUCGGAUCGUAAAACUCUGUUAUUAGGGAAGAACAAAUGUGUAAGUAACUAUGCACGUCUUGACGGUACCUAACCAGAAAGCCACGGCUAACUACGUGCCAGCAGCCGCGGUAAUACGUAGGGGGCAAGCGUUAUCCGGAAUUAUUGGGCGUAAAGCGGGCGCAGGCGGUUUUUUAAGUCUGAUGUGAAAGCCCACGGCUCAACCAUGGAGGGUCAUUGGAAACUGGAAGACUUGAGUGCAGAAGAGGGAAGAGGAAGUCCAUGUGUAGCGGUGAAAUGCGCAGAGAAAUGGAGGAACACCAGUGGCGAAGGCGACUUUCUGGUCUGUAACUGACGCUGAUGUGCGAAAGCGGGGGGAUCAAACAGG
RNAcentral lists this ribosomal RNA (429 nucleotides) under Actinomycetes bacterium. Its description in RNAcentral is "Actinobacteria bacterium partial 16S ribosomal RNA". It matches the Rfam family "Bacterial small subunit ribosomal RNA", at positions 355 to 776 of the family's 1533-position model. Lineage: Bacteria; Bacillati; Actinomycetota; Actinomycetes. The record is from RNAcentral.